RNAcentral lists this ribosomal RNA (504 nucleotides) under uncultured bacterium. RNAcentral describes it as "bacterial SSU rRNA". It matches the Rfam family "Bacterial small subunit ribosomal RNA", at positions 32 to 512 of the family's 1533-position model. The record is from RNAcentral.
AAUCAACGCUGGCGGCGUGCCUAACACAUGCAAGUCGAACGCGAAAGCCCCUUCGGGGGCAAGUAGAGUGGCGUCCGGGUGAGUAACACGUGGGUAAUCUACCUCCGGGUGGGGAAUAACUCGCCGAAAGGCGGGCUAAUACCGCAUAAUGCAGCGGCACCGAAUGGUGAUUAGUUGUUAAAGCGGGGGACCUUAGGGCCUCGCGUCUGGAGAGGAGCCUGCGGCAGAUUAGCUUGUUGGUAGGGAAUGGCCUACCAAGGCUGCGAUCUGUAGCUGGUCUGAGAGGACGGCCAGCCACACUGGCACUGGCACACGGGCCAGACUCCUACGGGAGGCAGCAGUGGGGAAUUUUGGGCAAUGGGCGAAAGCCUGACCCAGCAACGCCGCGUGAAGGAGGAAAUCCUUCGGGAUGUAAACUUCACAAGCAAGGGAAGAGCGCGCAGGGUCGAAUAAACUCUGCGUCCGACGGUACCUUGCGUAAGCCACGGCUAACUACGUGCCAGC